UUAAUAUUUUAGCCGGUUACUUAAAAUACUUGUUAAGAAAACCACAAGAACAAAAUUCCAACAAUUAAACACUGUAAAGGUGUUUUUUUUUAACAAAAUUUUUUGGUUGGAGUGGGGAGUAAUGGUCGAGCUACACUUGUCAUCCACCAUCAUAUUCAGUUUAACACAAUUAUCGUAGGACUAAGGGGUUAUUAAUCAAUGUUUUAAUUGAACAUAAACAAGCGGAGCGAAAUCAUUUUAAAUGUCGUUCGCGCGUGAAUACCUUGAAAAACACGUAGAUGGUAACAUUUAUUUUAAAAAAGCAAUAUCAUUCUGUAAUUUAUACUAUGAUGGAACGAUCUAACUAUAAAUUUUUUAUUUGCAUUUGAAGGUCAAAGUUUAGAAUUCAAAGGUGGGUGUGAUUGUACUGUACUAAAAAUAUUAUUGAUGCACCAUAGUGAAGAAAACCAAAAAAAUUCGAUUAAACAUGAAUAUUUGUGAUUAUAAGGCUUUCAGCACAAUUUAAAAUUGACCAGUAUGAUGAGAGUUCUCAGUCAGCAAUGAGAUGUAAUUUUUUAAAAUUAUGAGGAGACAAUUAUUUUACAAUAACAAAUUCCGGAAGUUAACAAAAGUGUGAACUGAACAAUUGUGCUUUUGAGCUAGGAAUUAAAGGUUUGGGACUGGCAUCCUACUUGCAAUUAUGGAAGAAUCUACUGAUUUGUCAUUCAAAUUACUUUAUACUACAAGAAUACAUAGGGAUUUUGGAAUUAAAUGCUUACCUCGUAACACAAUAAUCGUUCUCAUUUAAAUUGGCUUUAACAAUGAAAAAUAUUCAAUGUUUUACAGUUUCAAGGUUGUAUGUUAAACUGUUACAGCAGACAGCUAUAUAAAUAUAUUAACUUGCGACCCUUGUUUACCAAUCCUGCAUUCAAAACUGACUUGCGAUCACUGAUAUAUAUAUAUAUAUAUUUAAGUAUUGCAAACGAGUAUCACUUUUCAAGCAGAUAGGUUGGUGUCAACAACUUCUUGCUGCAUGUCAAAGUCAAAGUCGCACAUAUGAUUAUUAAAUUGACACUACCGAACAUCUUGAUAAAUACUUCAAGCAUGGCUUUUCUGGAAAACGAAAAAAAUAUAUCGUUCUCAUCUUUAAAAGUUUGAAGUUUGUAUACAUAGGUUCUACAGCUGUAAUUCCUUCAUAAAACAUCAAUGCAUAUUAUUAUUCCUUGAUUCUAAUAUGUCAGAUCGACUCAUUAUUAAAAAUAAAUUCGGUGAUACAUUUUUUAAUCUAUAAUUCAAGGCACCAUACUCAUUAUCAAAAUAACUUGGUAAUAUAAUUUGACGAUGGAACUUACAUCUUUGAAUGAGUCUAAAUUUUUUGUUUACGCGUUCAAAAUGUUAGAUGCAUAUCAAAUAGUGCGGAUAAAUAAGAAGCACAAUAUUAAGUUAGGGUUGCUAA
This is a non-coding RNA of Schizosaccharomyces pombe (fission yeast), 1435 nucleotides long. Lineage: Eukaryota; Fungi; Ascomycota; Schizosaccharomycetes; Schizosaccharomycetales; Schizosaccharomycetaceae. The record is from the annotation of a GenBank genome assembly.